GAUGAACGCUGGCGGCGUGCCUAAUACAUGCAAGUCGAGCGCACGUACUAUAAGCGUGCUUCUCUGCUGUUAACGGCGGACGGGGGAGUAACACGUGGAUAACCUACCUUUAAGACUGGGAUAACUUCGGGAAACCGUAGCUAAUACCUGAUAAUAUUUUGAACCUCAUUGUUCAAAAUUGAAAGACGGUCUUGCUGUCACUUAUAGAUGGAUCCGCUCUGCAUUCGUUAGUUGGUAAGGUAACGGCUUACCAAGGCAACGAUGCAUAGCCGCCCUGGGAGGGGGAUGGGCCACCUGGGAACUGGGACACGGUCCAGCCUCCUACGGGAGGAAGAAGUAGGGAAUCUUGCGAAAUGGGCGAAAGCCUGACGGGGCACCGCCGCGGGAGUGAGGAGGGUCUUCGGAUCUAAAAACUCUGUUUUUGGGGAGGACCAGAAGUGUAAGUAACUGUGCACAUCUUGACGGUACCUAAUCAGAAAGCCACGGCUAACUACGUG
This 497-nucleotide ribosomal RNA is filed under the name uncultured bacterium. Its description in RNAcentral is "partial 16S ribosomal RNA". It matches the Rfam family "Bacterial small subunit ribosomal RNA", at positions 28 to 507 of the family's 1533-position model. The record is from RNAcentral.